Molecule: ribosomal RNA, 254 nt
Filed under: uncultured bacterium
Lineage: Bacteria
Description: partial 16S ribosomal RNA
Rfam family: Bacterial small subunit ribosomal RNA
Source: RNAcentral
UACGUAGGGCGCGAGCGUUGUCCGGAAUUACUGGGCGUAAAGAGCUCGUAGGUGGUUUGUCGCGUUGUUCGUGAAAACCGGGGGCUUAACCCUCGGCGUGCGGGCGAUACGGGCAGACUUGAGUACUGCAGGGGAGACUGGAAUUCCUGGUGUAGCGGUGGAAUGCGCAGAUAUCAGGAGGAACACCGGUGGCGAAGGCGGGUCUCUGGGCAGUAACUGACGCUGGAGGAGCGAAAGCGUGGGGAGCGAACAGG